GGUCGGGGGCCAGCUGAGUGGCGUCGGGUGGAGAUUCGGGCCCCUCUGUUGAUCGGCGAGUCUUACGUGAGUCGGCCAUCGGACUUUCAGGUUCAGUCGGUCGGGAAAAGUAUGCCCGACCGACACAUCCUCGGUCGGUGAUGGGCCGUUAAUUGGCCGGUGAUGGCGCCCGUCAGUCGGUCGCUCCGGCUGUCGAUCGGUCCCUCC
RNAcentral lists this long non-coding RNA (207 nucleotides) under Elaeis guineensis (African oil palm). RNAcentral describes it as "long non-coding RNA (EGUI_LNC072512)". The record is from RNAcentral. Lineage: Eukaryota; Viridiplantae; Streptophyta; Magnoliopsida; Arecales; Arecaceae.